AUCCACUUUGAAAACAGGAGACAUCCGCGGCAGGUGGGGCUUGCAAAUGAUAUUUCUAAUCAGAUGUUCAUCCAGAAAGUAAUUAACUUUAGGAAAGUAAAGGCCCUAGAGGCUUCUGAAAAGAUUUCCUUACUCUCAAUUCUCCCUGAGCAUUGCUUGAUAUUUGCCUCCCCCUGAGCUGUAGAGCCCAAAGGGAAGAUGAGAAGCAAGUCCUGCUGAUAUGGAUGCGGAUCACAUUUGCGUGACUCAGAGCUGUGGGGACAGUGGUUCUUUCAACUGCUCCUUAUGUGAAGAAUUUCUCCAGGAUUCAUCAUUCCAUCUGGAUCUGUAUAAAUAAAGCUGAAGUUCUGGUCAUGACCACUCCCUGGAUCACUCCUGCCCCUGUGUUCCUGGAGCCUCAGAGUUUUGCGUCACAUGAGCUCCCAAGCUCUUCCUUUCUCAUUCAUCUGCUUUGGUUCAUUCUUGUUGAGACUCACUAUAAGGAAAGCACCUCAUCCUGCUACAGCUGGGUACAGAACUCUGAUGUCUUCAUAAAAGUUGCUGCCUCUUGGGAGCUGUGAGCAUUGGGAUCAGCCAGUAUGGCACAUUUGCUGCUACCUCAGGGCGUGAGAGCAUGCUAAGCUCCACAUGAAGGCCUCACUUUCCCACACUAUCUCCACUGAGCACUGAAGUGAUGAUGUUGUGUCCCUGUGUCUCAGGGGUAAAUGGAGGCAGCCUUUUUCUUUUCAGGGCUGACACAAAAAGUCAAUGGGGCUUGGGGAUGAAUAACAACAAAGGACAGGCCCUCUUGCAUGAGGUCAGUCCCUCCUGCUCCUGCCCUCAAAUGUAUAUGCAAAACUAUUUUCCUUGUUCUGUGCAUGAGGUCACUGUCUAUGGUCCCAUUGAUAUGGUUUGGCUAUGGACUGACCUAAAUCUCAUCUUGAAUUGUAAUAAUCCCCAUAUGUCAAGGGUGGGGUCAGGUGGAGGUAAUGGAAUCACAGGGGGUGGCUUCCCCCAUACUAUUCUCAUGAUAGUGAAAAAGUCUCACGAAAUCUGAUAGUUUUAUAAAUGGGAGUUUCCCUGCACAAGCUCUCUUGCCUGCUGCCAUGUAAGACAUGAUUUUGCUCCUCAUUUGCCUUCCAUAAUGAUUGUGAGACCUCCCCAGCCAUGUGGAACUGUGAGUCAAUUAAACCUCUUUCCUUUAUAAAUUACCCAGUGUUGGGUAUAUCUUUAUUAGCAGUGUGGGAACAGGCUAAUACAGUAAUUGGUACCAGUAGAGUGGGAUUCUGCUGUAAAGAUACCCCAAAAAUGUGGAGGUGACUAUGGAACUGGGUAACAGGCAGAAGUUGGAACAGUUUGGAGGACUCAGAAGACAGGAAAAUGUGGAAAAGUUUGGAGCUUUAUAGAGACUCGGAGGGCUCAUAAGCCAGGAAAAUACGGGAAAGUUUGGAAUUUCCUAGAGACUUGUUGAAUGGUUUUGACCAAAAUGCUGAUAGUGAUAUGGAAAAUAAAGUCCAGGUUGAGGAGGUCUCAGAUGGAGAUGAAGAGCAAAGGUAACUCUUGUCAUGCUUUAGCAAAAAGACUGGCAGCAUUUUGCUUCUGCCAUAGAGAUCUGUGGAACUUGGAACUUGAGAAAGAUGAUUUAGGCAUCCGGUGGAAGAAAUUUUUAAAUAGCAAGGCAUUCAAGAUGUGACUUGGGUGCUGUUAAAAGCAUUCAGUUUUCUGUAUUCACAAAGAUAUGGUUUGGAAUCAGAACUUAUGCUUAAAAGGGAAGCAGAGCAUAAAAAUUUAGAAAAUUUGCAGGCUGAUGAUGCAAUAGAAAAGAAAAACCCAUUUUCUGAGGAGAAAUUCAAGCCUGCUGCAGAAAUUUGCGUAAAUAAUGAGGAGAAAAAUGUUAAUCACCAAGAAAAUGCAGAAAAUGUCUCCAGGGUAUCACAGAGAGAUUUGCAGCAGCCCCUCCCAUCACAGGCCUAGAGGCCUAGGAGGAAAAAAUGGUUUCGUGGGCUGGGCCCAUGGCCUCGCUGCUCUGUGCAGCCUAGGGACUUGGUGCUCUGUGUCCCAGCCACUCUAGCUGUGGCUAAAAGAGGACAAGGUACAGCUCAGGCUGUGGCUUCAGAGGGUGGAAGCCCCAAGCCUUGGCAGCUUCCAUGUGGUGUUGAGCUUGUGGGUGCACAGAAGUUAGGAAUUGAGGUUUGGAAACCUCUGCCUAGUUUCAGAAGAAGUAUGGAAGCACCUGGAUGUCCAGGCAGAAGUUUGCCGUAGGGGUAGGGUCCUCAUGGAGAACCUCUGCUAGGGCUGUGUGAAAGAGCAAUGUGGGGUGGGGUCCCCCAGACAGAGUCCCUACUUGGGCACUGCCUAGUGGAGCUGUGAGAAGAAGCCCACCAUCCCGCAGACUCCAGAGUGGUAGGUCCACCAAUAGCUUGCACCGUGCACCUGGAAAAGUGGCAGACACUCAAUGCCAGCCCAUGAAAGCAACCAGGAGGGAGGCUGUACCCUACAAAGCCACAGAAUGGAGCUGCCCAAGACCAUGGGAACACACCUCUUGCAUCUGUAUGACCUGGAUGUGAGAAAUGGAGUCAAAGAAGAUCAUUUUGGAGCUUUAAGAUUUGACUGCCCCCCUGGAUUUCAAACUUGGAUGGGGUCUGUAGCUCCUUCGUUUUGGCCAGUUUCUUCCAUUUGGAACAGCUGUAUUUGACCAAUGACAGUACCCUCAUUAUAUCUAGGAAGCAACUUACUUGGUUUUGAUUUUACAGGCUCAUAGGUGGAAGAGAGUUUCCUGGUUUCAGAUGAGACUUUGGACUGGGACUUUUGGGUUAAUGCUGUAAUGAGUUAAGACUUUGGGGGACAGUUGGGAAGGCAAGAUUGUUUUUUGAAAUGUGAAAGUGACAUGAGAUUUGGGAGGGUCUGGGGGCAGAAUGAUGUGGUUUGGGUGUUUCCCGACCCAAAUUUCAUCUUGAAUUGUAAUAAUCCACACAUGUCAAGAACAGGGCCAGGUGAAGAUACUUGAAUCAUGGGGGUGAUUUCCUCCAAACUGUUCUCAUGGUAGUGAAUAAAUCUCAAGAGAUCUGAUGGUUUUAUAAAUGGGAUUUCCUCUGCACAAACUUUCUUUCCUGUCACCAUGUAAGACGUGACUUUGCUCAUCAUUCAUCUUCCACCAUGUUUGUAAGGCCUCCCCAACUAUAUGGAACUGUGAGUCAAUUAAACCUCUUUCCUUUAUAAAUUACCCAGUUUUGGGUAUGUGUUUAUUAGCAGCAUGAGAACAGACUAAUACACUCAACCACCUGCUCAAACAUAUCUGACCCAGUCUGAACUCAAGGUAGGACCCCCAAUACACAUGAAAAGCUUUGUAGGCCUUGUCACCUUCACAUUACCUUACCUUGACUCUGAACCAGGAAUUAAUUACCAUGAAAUAAAGGAUGAUGCAAAUGUUGAUGUUGGGUCCAAUCUGUAGUAGUGACAGGAAGUGCUCCACAAGAACACAUAAGUAGGAGUGAAAA
RNAcentral lists this long non-coding RNA (3476 nucleotides) under Homo sapiens (human). RNAcentral's name for it is "non-protein coding LINC01182:13". The record is from RNAcentral. Lineage: Eukaryota; Metazoa; Chordata; Mammalia; Primates; Hominidae.